GAUGAAGAACGUAGCAAAAUGCGAUAAGUAAUGUGAAUUGCAGAAUUCAGUGAAUCAUCGAAUCUUUGAACGCACAUUGCGCCCGCCAGUAUUCUGGCGGGCAUGCCUGUUCGAGCGUCAUUUCAACCCUCAAGCACAGCUUGGUGUUGGGACUCGCGUUAAUUCGCGUUCCCCAAAUUGAUUGGCGGUCACGUCGAGCUUCCAUAGCGUAGUAGUAAAACCCUCGUUACUGGUAAUCGUCGCGGCCACGCCGUUAAACCCCAACUUCUGAAUGUUGACCUCGGAUCAGGUAGGAAUACCCGCUGAACUUAAGCAUAUCAAUAAGCGGAAGGA
Molecule: unclassified non-coding RNA, 333 nt
Filed under: soil metagenome
Description: partial contains 5.8S ribosomal RNA, internal transcribed spacer 2, and large subunit ribosomal RNA
Rfam family: 5.8S ribosomal RNA (bases 1-120)
Source: RNAcentral